This is a long non-coding RNA of Manis pentadactyla (Chinese pangolin), 786 nucleotides long. RefSeq lists it as uncharacterized. Lineage: Eukaryota; Metazoa; Chordata; Mammalia; Pholidota; Manidae. The record is from RefSeq and is a predicted model, not a curated record. The transcript is spliced from 2 exons.
AGCAAAACCUCUCCAGGCCUUGAGAGAAUUAAAAUAAAUGAUCCCUUCUUGCUUAUUCUUACCAUUAAAAAUGUGUCUUUCUUUGCAACUGUUAUGGAAAUCAAUUAUUUAAAAAUUAAGUUACAAAAUCGCACUUCAGUUUUAUAAUCUAGAUGUUCAUUUCUUUAAAAAAAAGUAAAGAUUUCUCACAUGUCACUAGAAUUGCUAAACAAUUACCAACCCCAGUGCUUCUCUGGUUGCAUGUUAGGAUCAAUAUGUGGGGAGGCUUUUUAAAUCACUUAAAACAAUGGCAACAACUCCGUCUCCCUCCUUCUUCCCCAAAAAGAACAGCGGCUGAGGGAAUGAGAACUGUCGAUGUCAUCUUCACAGGCCUGUCUGUCUUCAGGAGCAGAAGGAAGACAAAGAAGUAUGGGCAGAGAAGACCAGAAAGUUGCUAAACAACACUGAAAUCUUAACUGGAAUCCAAAGCAAAAAAGGGAUAGAGUCAGAUACAAAGUCUAUGCUAUCAAUAAACAAUGAAAAACCACAUCAUUUUCGCUGGAGCUUUCCUAGACUUUCAAAUUUAAGUGACAUUCUACAAAAUUGUCCAACUUGCUAAACACUUACUUUUGCAUGAGAUACAACAAUUAAAUAAUGAUAUCUGUAUAUCAAUUAAAUGGGAAGCAUACGGGAAAAAUAAUAAUUUUGGCUUUAUGGCCCAACCUGUUCUUUCUGAAAAUAAAUAGACAAUAAAAUUAUCUGUAAAGGCAACUCUUAGAUUAAGACAAUAAAAUAUUUUCAUUUGUA